GGUUUCAGAUUGGGUGAUGGCUGAAGUUCCUGGCUCUCCAAAAUGCUAAGCCUUCCUCUCAGGAAGAGCCACCGACUCUCACCCCUUUGCUGCAGCAGAGCAAACCAAUUCCAGACCAUCUUGGCAGCCCCCAAAACUGGAUUCUCGACUGCGCCCUCCACAGUUUCUUGCCCACCUCCCUCAGCGCCCAAACAUCUCAUUCUUUCAAGGUAUCGUGUUCACCUCCCUCGGAAAGUUCUCUUGAUCGUCUCUGACGGCAAAACUCCUCAAUUCGGUCUCCAGAACCCAUGGCAGACAUAGCUGGCAGAGCUUGUUCCCUGCUUCUAUCUGCUCUGGUUGCCUUUUUCUCUCUCGUCUGUGUCUGAGGCACAGGCAGAGCGGGCUUUAGAAAAGGACAGCCCUGGGUUUCCAUCUUAGUUCUGUUACUGAGAGCUGUGGAGCUUGGGGCAAGGCGUGUCACGUCUCGGAAGCCUCUCUUUUCUCAUCCGCAGAUGAGGGAUGCUAAUGCCCACCUUGCUUCAAGGAAUGGCUUGGGUAGCAUGUGUUAAAAAUAACAAUGUGGAUAAAGAGGUGCACAGUAGCUGCUCAAUAAGUGGAAUCCAGCCAUGUUCUUAUGAUAAGACAUGCUUUGCAUUUUAAUUGCUUGUUUAGGUGUCCACUUCCCCCAGAGGGCAAUUGACUCUUUGGAGGAAAAGCAUGGACCUUAUUAACUCCUGUUUUUAGAUUUCUCCCGCCCUAGCACAGAGCUGGGCAUGCAUUCGGCUUGAAGGAUGUUUGAUUAAUAAAUUAGUAAAUAAAUGGAUACAUGGAUAAACACCUGCAACAAGCAUUUAGGAAGUGAAAUUAAACAGUGCCUGGGAUGUAGGAGGUGUUUAAUAAGCAUUUGUUUGUAAAUGAAUGAAUGAAUGAAUGAACACCUACAACCAAAGAUUCAGGGAUCUCAAUGAAGAUCAAACUGAGGGGUUUUGUGAUUUUCCCCCACAAAAUGACCCCCACCCCUCCUGCCAGAAGCAGCUCCCAUCAGCUUACUGAGGAACAACAAUGUUAAAUUAUUGCUUAACUGCUUCCCAGACGACCAUCUCCCCGCAUCUCGCCAGGAAAAUCAUCGCCAUUCUCUUCGUGCCAUGAACAGCUGCAGUUAACACGUUUGGGGUGCCUGUUAAGCACGAUUCCCUUCAGCCAGUCCAAACUUGAUUUCCACGGCUGCGUCUCCUUUCCACCGGGGAGAGCUCUCUCCAGGAACCUGACUCGCUAAGUCAAUGGUUCAGGGAAGAGAUGCACCAACAUCGUGCCGGCAGAUGAGGCGUGAUGGGCACCAGCACAGGGAAAGAAGAGGGGAGUGGGGCCCAGCAGCACCCCCAGCCUGGCACCUGGAGGAAGAGGGAGAGGAAAGGUGUGCAGACCAUCCUCCACGCACGGAGCCUUCUGCUUUCUUCCCUUUCCUCUAAGUGCUGCUGACUCAAAUGAAGACGACACUUUUUAAAAGACAUUCUCAGCGUGCCUUGCCCACCCGUGAGGUGCCCCCUAUAGCAUCCUUGAAAAGCAGUGGCCAGACUGAGGAGCACUUCUAAGGGCAGGAAGCUCACUCCCCUACAACAGCCAAGGAGCUUGGAGGGGACCAGGGCAUUUAGAAGCAAGAGGGGCACAGUGCCUCAUUGGCAGAAAG
This 1666-nucleotide long non-coding RNA is filed under the name Equus asinus (donkey). Its description in RNAcentral is "lncRNA (ENSEASG00005026808.1)". The record is from RNAcentral. Lineage: Eukaryota; Metazoa; Chordata; Mammalia; Perissodactyla; Equidae.